AAGAGUGUCACCAUUGCAGCAAAUGCUUGACAUUCGGUACACUUUCUGAGGGAUCUCUGUGGGAUCCCAGCUGGACCAAAGUGAAAACUGUGCUGAUCCUGGAUUAAGAGGACCCGGGUUCAAAAGUGCCUUGGAUGGAGAAGAUGUGUUCUUCAUCAUCGUUCUUCAGGAAUGAUCCCAACAGAAUCAGAGCUUUAAGGCUAAACCUCGUAACUUUAAGAGAAAGAGCCCAUUGUUGUCGAUGGUUUUUGUGGAUGGACAACACUGCCCUCCGAUGGGUGGAGUGGCUGGCCAGAUCACAGCCAGAGCUGAUUGUUUCUGCCUCAAGGACCUGAAGGCCGAGCCUGAGCAAUCGCACCUGUGAGACCCAGCAAGUAAUCCCUGGCGGCCUGGGACUGUCUGGUAGCAUUCAGGGCAACUCACACUGUCAAUACCAGGGGAGCAAUUGUGCAUGUGAAAAGGGAGCGAGAG
Antechinus flavipes (yellow-footed antechinus) is the source of this 471-nucleotide long non-coding RNA. RefSeq lists it as uncharacterized. NCBI's taxonomy places the organism in Eukaryota, Metazoa, Chordata, Mammalia, Dasyuromorphia, Dasyuridae. The transcript has 3 exons. The record is from RefSeq and is a predicted model, not a curated record.